This 280-nucleotide ribosomal RNA is filed under the name uncultured bacterium. RNAcentral's name for it is "partial 16S ribosomal RNA". It matches the Rfam family "Bacterial small subunit ribosomal RNA", at positions 506 to 784 of the family's 1533-position model. The record is from RNAcentral.
UGCCAGCCGCCGCGGUAAGACGUAGGGACCGAGCGUUGUCCGGAUUUAUUGGGCGUAAAGAGCUCGUAGGCGGUUGCGUAAGUCGGAUGUGAAAACUCGGGGCUCAACCCCGAGACGCCAUCCGAUACUGCGCUGACUUGAAUCCAGUAGGGGAGUGUGGAAUUUGUUGUGUAGCGGUGAAAUGCGCAGAUAUGACAAGGAACACCUAUGGCGAAGGCAGCACUCUGGGCUGGUAUUGACGCUGUGGAGCGAAAGCAUGGGUAGCGAACAGGAUUAGAUA